Molecule: ribosomal RNA, 424 nt
Filed under: Fusobacteriota bacterium
Lineage: Bacteria; Fusobacteriati; Fusobacteriota
Description: Fusobacteria bacterium partial 16S ribosomal RNA
Rfam family: Bacterial small subunit ribosomal RNA
Source: RNAcentral
UGAGGAAUAUUGGUCAAUGGUCGAGAGACUGAACCAGCCAAGUCGCGUGAAGGAUGACUGCCCUAUGGGUUGUAAACUUCUUUUACAAGGGAAUAAAAUGAGAUACGUGUAUUUUAUUGCAUGUACCUUGGGAAUAAGCAUCGGCUAACUCCGUGCCAGCAGCCGCGGUAAUACGGAGGAUGCGAGCGUUAUCCGGAUUUAUUGGGUUUAAAGGGUGCGUAGGUGGGCUGUUAAGUCAGCGGUGAAAGUUUGUCGCUUAACGAUAAAAUUGCCGUUGAAACUGGUAGUCUUGAGUAUAGAUGAAGUAGGCGGAAUGCGUGGUGUAGCGGUGAAAUGCAUAGAGAUCACGCAGAACUCCGAUUGCGAAGGCAGCUUACUAAGGUAUAACUGACACUGAAGAACGAAAGCGUGGGUAUCAAACAGG